RNAcentral lists this ribosomal RNA (492 nucleotides) under uncultured bacterium. RNAcentral describes it as "partial 16S ribosomal RNA". It matches the Rfam family "Bacterial small subunit ribosomal RNA", at positions 30 to 507 of the family's 1533-position model. The record is from RNAcentral.
AUUGAACGCUGGCGGCAUGCUUUACACAUGCAAGUCGAACGGUAACAGGCCUUCGGGUGCUGACGAGUGGCGAACGGGUGCGUAAUGCAUCGGAACGUGCCCAGAGGUGGGGGAUAACGCAGCGAAAGCUGUGCUAAUACCGCAUGUGAUCUGAGGAUGAAAGCGGGGGACCAGGCAGCAAUGUUUGGCCUCGCGCCUUUGGAGCGGCCGAUGUCAGAUUAGGUAGUUGGUGGGGUAAAGGCCUACCAAGCCGACGAUCUGUAGCUGGUCUGAGAGGACGAUCAGCCACACUGGGACUGAGACACGGCCCAGACUCCUACGGGAGGCAGCAGUGGGGAAUUUUGGACAAUGGGCGCAAGCCUGAUCCAGCAAUGCCGCGUGCGGGAAGAAGGCCUUCGGGUUGUAAACCGCUUUUGUACGGAACGAAAAGGCUCUGGCUAAUACCUGGGGCUGAUGACGGUACCGUAAGAAUAAGCACCGGCUAACUACGUG